AAAUUGAAGAGUUUGAUCAUGGCUCAGAUUGAACGCUGGCGGCAGGCCUAACACAUGCAAGUCGAACGGUAACAGGAAGCAGCUUGCUGCUUUGCUGACGAGUGGCGGACGGGUGAGUAAUGUCUGGGAAACUGCCUGAUGGAGGGGGAUAACUACUGGAAACGGUAGCUAAUACCGCAUAACGUCGCAAGACCAAAGAGGGGGACCUUCGGGCCUCUUGCCAUCGGAUGUGCCCAGAUGGGAUUAGCUUGUUGGUGGGGUAACGGCUCACCAAGGCGACGAUCCCUAGCUGGUCUGAGAGGAUGACCAGCCACACUGGAACUGAGACACGGUCCAGACUCCUACGGGAGGCAGCAGUGGGGAAUAUUGCACAAUGGGCGCAAGCCUGAUGCAGCCAUGCCGCGUGUAUGAAGAAGGCCUUCGGGUUGUAAAGUACUUUCAGCGGGGAGGAAGGGAGUAAAGUUAAUACCUUUGCUCAUUGACGUUACCCGCAGAAGAAGCACCGGCUAACUCCGUGCCAGCAGCCGCGGUAAUACGGAGGGUGCAAGCGUUAAUCGGAAUUACUGGGCGUAAAGCGCACGCAGGCGGUUUGUUAAGUCAGAUGUGAAAUCCCCGGGCUCAACCUGGGAACUGCAUCUGAUACUGGCAAGCUUGAGUCUCGUAGAGGGGGGUAGAAUUCCAGGUGUAGCGGUGAAAUGCGUAGAGAUCUGGAGGAAUACCGGUGGCGAAGGCGGCCCCCUGGACGAAGACUGACGCUCAGGUGCGAAAGCGUGGGGAGCAAACAGGAUUAGAUACCCUGGUAGUCCACGCCGUAAACGAUGUCGACUUGGAGGUUGUGCCCUUGAGGCGUGGCUUCCGGAGCUAACGCGUUAAGUCGACCGCCUGGGGAGUACGGCCGCAAGGUUAAAACUCAAAUGAAUUGACGGGGGCCCGCACAAGCGGUGGAGCAUGUGGUUUAAUUCGAUGCAACGCGAAGAACCUUACCUGGUCUUGACAUCCACGGAAGUUUUCAGAGAUGAGAAUGUGCCUUCGGGAACCGUGAGACAGGUGCUGCAUGGCUGUCGUCAGCUCGUGUUGUGAAAUGUUGGGUUAAGUCCCGCAACGAGCGCAACCCUUAUCCUUUGUUGCCAGCGGUCCGGCCGGGAACUCAAAGGAGACUGCCAGUGAUAAACUGGAGGAAGGUGGGGAUGACGUCAAGUCAUCAUGGCCCUUACGACCAGGGCUACACACGUGCUACAAUGGCGCAUACAAAGAGAAGCGACCUCGCGAGAGCAAGCGGACCUCAUAAAGUGCGUCGUAGUCCGGAUUGGAGUCUGCAACUCGACUCCAUGAAGUCGGAAUCGCUAGUAAUCGUGGAUCAGAAUGCCACGGUGAAUACGUUCCCGGGCCUUGUACACACCGCCCGUCACACCAUGGGAGUGGGUUGCAAAAGAAGUAGGUAGCUUAACCUUCGGGAGGGCGCUUACCACUUUGUGAUUCAUGACUGGGGUGAAGUCGUAACAAGGUAACCGUAGGGGAACCUGCGGUUGGAUCACCUCCUUACCUUAAAGAA
RNAcentral lists this ribosomal RNA (1552 nucleotides) under Escherichia coli. RNAcentral describes it as "bacterial SSU rRNA". It matches the Rfam family "Bacterial small subunit ribosomal RNA". RNAcentral also lists the same sequence under 1 other name. Lineage: Bacteria; Pseudomonadati; Pseudomonadota; Gammaproteobacteria; Enterobacterales; Enterobacteriaceae. The record is from RNAcentral.